UUAAGUGCAUAUUGAUUGGAGAAUUCUAGUUAUUUGAAUUUCCAUGUUGGAUUGGGCUAUUAGAUCUUUCUCAUAAUUAUUGGAUACUAUUUGAUGUGUUAGUCUAACCUCAAGUUUAAGUUUGUGAUUUGACAAGGGAUUUUUGUUAUUGAGUGGAGACUUUGAUUUUGGAGAUAUUUAUUGAAAUUGAAAUGCUUGCUAACUGGGCUCGUAGCCAAAGUGUGGAUCAGCUAUGUUGGGAGUCCUCUCAGUGGA
RNAcentral lists this long non-coding RNA (255 nucleotides) under Phoenix dactylifera (date palm). RNAcentral's name for it is "long non-coding RNA (PDAC_LNC008130)". The record is from RNAcentral. Lineage: Eukaryota; Viridiplantae; Streptophyta; Magnoliopsida; Arecales; Arecaceae.